CCAGCUUUACUCCACGAAACUGUGUACUGUCCAGAGACUUAAGAACAAUUCCCUCCCUUUCACACAAGAGACAGCAACUUGUACCAACACCCAAGAGAAACAGAAUAUAUACCCGGAAUCGAGGGCCACCGAUCUGAGAAACGGAAAUCCGAGGAAGAGAGAGAGAGGAGGCAAGAAAAUAAAUCCCAAUGAUCUGCCGCACUGUGGCGGCCUCUAUACUUGUAAUUGGCUCCGUGAGAGCGCGUCCGCGGCGAUGAUUGUCGCCAACCAGUCGAUAUACAUCACACGAAAGACACGGAUGCGCACGCGCGCGGGCUAUUCUCACUACUGAAAGGACCCCAAACGAGAAACGAGGAGAAGAGGUUGGAAACGUGCGCCAGUCGAAGCAAAGAUAGCGCUGACAAGCGGCCACCGGGAACCCUCGCGUGCAACUUCGUUUCUUCUUCUCUUGAUUCUGCUUCCCUUACCACGCUCGGUUUCCAUCUUUAAAAGGGGCUAUCGAUACCUUCUUUCUCGAUACAGUCUGGCAUGAAUCGAAGUCGUCACCGCUAAUUUGGUGUUGAUGCGGUAUUCUAUGAUUUCUUAGUUCAGGAUUCGUAGAAAGUAAGGUUAGUGACGUAAAGUUGUUGUUAUUGAUGCGAUUAGUUUAUAAACGAUGAAAUCAUAUUGAUAAAUAGAUCUUUACCAUUUCUAAAAAUUUCUAAAUUCCAUUUUUCAAGAUUUUUGUUAUCUGUUAUCUAUCUAUUACGUUUAUUAAGAAAAAAAGAGGGAAAACUGAACAGAGGAAGAAAAAAGAAAAGAUAUAGAUGGUAACCUCCAUAUAUGAUUACAAGCACAUGAAAUUUCAAUCGACGUGAAUCGUUACGUGUUACGAGAUGGUAUGAGACACCUUUUUUCAUCUCGUCAGCAUCGGUGCCAUGUACGUAGUGGAUGUCGGCGUCGGCGAGGACAUGGCUUGGUCCAGUGUCGCCAAGACGCAUUGCGCGUCGCGUUAUCGGCAAAAAGGCCGGCUUUCCAAUUGGAUUUAUUCGCUUAACGAGUGUAGAUUCCGUCGCGCCGGCUAUGGCCAGGACAAAUGGCGCGCGCGUCGUACGCUGCGCUGCUUGUAGCUGGAACAAGAGAAUUCCGUUACGAGUGGAAAGCGUUGCUGGGAAUUGCCGGUGACAACGUUACGAGUUGGAUCGUAGGGAACGAGAAAAGACCGAUUCAAUUUGUGUUCGUUAGUAUUUGAAAUUAAAGAUGAUUGAAUUUGAUUCUUCAAGUUUUGCAUCAAGUAUUUUUUGAUAUAAAAUAUAUUUAUUGUUGAAACAUCCUAUAAUCAUAAUAUAGUCACAAAUAUAAAUAUAGCUUAAAUAAUUUCUGGAAAUUCAACAAAAAAAGAAAAUAAAUAUGAGUGAAAUAAUAAUAUUCAUGAUGUAUUGACAUGUGUUGAAACAAUUAAUGGUUGGUAUAAAGAUUUGACAUGCUCGAAGCUCAUUUUGAGGUUCCAUUUUCAAGAAUUGGUGGAGAUAGUUACAGAUAUUUAAAUGAGUAAUAUUAUGUGUCCUAAUAAGACAAUAACGUUGCCAUCUAAUAAGAAGAUUGAGUAAAGAAGUUCUCAAAAUUUUCGAAGUCCAUCAAGUUUCAUCAGGGGAAACAGAAGUUAGCCUGCACGUGAUUCCGUGAUCUGCCGUUGCAUUGUUUUGCCCAGUCACACAGAAAAAGAGGUGCAUUACGUAUGGCGAUUGCGUCAGGGUGAUAUCGUCAUCGGACAGGGCAAACACGACUUUAGCCUUCUCGGUCGGGGACACGAGCAAGGAGAGCAGAGGUGCGUGUCCCGACACGGCUUGCCCAUUAGGUGGACCCGCCGCGGCAUCAGAUUAGAUUCCGUUUCGUUCGUCCGCAACAAUGCCAGUGAACCGCGAUGCAUCGCCGGAACGGCGACGUUCCAGUUAACGUGUUUCCUGGAUUCGUGAAUCCUCGACUAACUGGCCUCGUUGGGACACUCAUCUUUUUGCUCAUGAUCCUCUUUUUUUUUAGAGAUUUUGAUGAUAGAUGUUUAUUCUUUUUAUUGACAGAGAUUAUUAUUAUUUUUGUGGCUUGUAAAAUUUAGGAUAAUAAAAAUGUUGAGUUAUUA
Long non-coding RNA from Apis cerana (Asiatic honeybee), 2116 nucleotides. RefSeq lists it as uncharacterized. NCBI's taxonomy places the organism in Eukaryota, Metazoa, Arthropoda, Insecta, Hymenoptera, Apidae. The record is from RefSeq and is a predicted model, not a curated record.